RNAcentral lists this non-coding RNA (76 nucleotides) under Syntrophobacter sp. SbD1. RNAcentral's name for it is "c-di-GMP-I". It matches the Rfam family "c-di-GMP-I-GGC riboswitch aptamer". The record is from RNAcentral. Lineage: Bacteria; Pseudomonadati; Thermodesulfobacteriota; Syntrophobacteria; Syntrophobacterales; Syntrophobacteraceae.
GGAUGACAGAGCCAAACCCAUCGUAAGGUGGGGACGGAAAGCCACGGGUCUUACGGAAGAUAGCCGGGUUGCCUUU